Molecule: ribosomal RNA, 53 nt
Filed under: Lactobacillus sp.
Lineage: Bacteria; Bacillati; Bacillota; Bacilli; Lactobacillales; Lactobacillaceae
Description: partial 23S ribosomal RNA
Source: RNAcentral
GUGCAGUGAUGUACGGAGCGGACCAAUACUAAUCGGUCGAGGACUUAACCAAG